CAACUCUCAACAACGGAUAUCUUGGCUCCCGUAACGAUGAAGAACGCAGCGAAAUGCGAUACGUAGUGUGAAUUGCAGAAUUCCGUGAACCAUCGAAUCUUUGAACGCAAAUUGCGCUUGAGGCUUCGGCUAAGAGCAUGUCUGGCUCAGCGUC
This 154-nucleotide ribosomal RNA is filed under the name Trebouxia impressa. RNAcentral describes it as "5.8S ribosomal RNA". It matches the Rfam family "5.8S ribosomal RNA". Rfam says of the family: 5.8S ribosomal RNA (5.8S rRNA) is a component of the large subunit of the eukaryotic ribosome. It is transcribed by RNA polymerase I as part of the 45S precursor that also contains 18S and 28S rRNA. Lineage: Eukaryota; Viridiplantae; Chlorophyta; Trebouxiophyceae; Trebouxiales; Trebouxiaceae. The record is from RNAcentral.